UAGGACAGUUAAGGGGCUAUUUGGACAUC
Molecule: non-coding RNA, 29 nt
Filed under: Mus musculus (house mouse)
Lineage: Eukaryota; Metazoa; Chordata; Mammalia; Rodentia; Muridae
Source: RNAcentral